RNAcentral lists this ribosomal RNA (253 nucleotides) under uncultured bacterium. Its description in RNAcentral is "partial 16S ribosomal RNA". It matches the Rfam family "Bacterial small subunit ribosomal RNA", at positions 524 to 776 of the family's 1533-position model. The record is from RNAcentral.
UACGGAGGGGGCAAGCGUUAUUCGGAAUUAUUGGGCGUAAAGGGCAGGUAGGCGGCUUCGUGUGUCUCUUGUGAAAGCCCUCGGCUCAACUGAGGAAUUGCAAGGGAAACUACGGAGCUUGAGUCCGGGAGAGGAGAGUGGAAUUCCCAGUGUAGCGGUGAAAUGCGUAGAUAUUGGGAGGAACACCGGUGGCGAAGGCGGCUCUCUGGACCGGUACUGACGCUGAGCUGCGAAAGCUAGGGGAGCAAACGGG